UGGAAGUAAAAGUCGUAACAAGGUUUCCGUAGGUGAACCUGCGGAAGGAUCAUUACAGAAUGAAAAGUGCUUAACUGCAUUUUUUCUUACACAUGUGUUUUUCUUUUUUUGAAAACUUUGCUUUGGUAGGCCUUCUAUAUGGGGCCUGCCAGAGAUUAAACUCAACCAAAUUUUAUUUAAUGUCAACCGAUUAUUUAAUAGUCAAAACUUUCAACAACGGAUCUCUUGGUUCUCGCAUCGAUGAAGAACGCAGCGAAAUGCGAUAAGUAAUAUGAAUUGCAGAUAUUCGUGAAUCAUCGAAUCUUUGAACGCACAUUGCGCCCUUUGGUAUUCCAAAGGGCAUGCCUGUUUGAGCGUCAUUUCUCCCUCAAACCCUCGGGUUUGGUGUUGAGCGAUACGCUGGGUUUGCUUGAAAGAAAGGCGGAGUAUAAACUAAUGGAUAGGUUUUUUCCACUCAUUGGUACAAACUCCAAAACUUCUUCCAAAUUCGACCUCAAAUCAGGUAGGACUACCCGCUGAACUUAAGCAUAUCAAUAAGCGGAGGA
Molecule: unclassified non-coding RNA, 545 nt
Filed under: Lodderomyces parapsilosis
Lineage: Eukaryota; Fungi; Ascomycota; Pichiomycetes; Serinales; Debaryomycetaceae
Description: Candida parapsilosis sequence contains 18S rRNA gene, ITS1, 5.8S rRNA gene, ITS2, 28S rRNA gene
Rfam family: 5.8S ribosomal RNA (bases 206-359)
Source: RNAcentral